ACCUGGCUAGCUCAGUUGGUAGAGUAUGAGACUCUUAAUUUCAGGGCCGUAGGUUUGAGCCCCAUGUUGGGCA
Molecule: non-coding RNA, 73 nt
Organism: Meriones unguiculatus (Mongolian gerbil)
Lineage: Eukaryota; Metazoa; Chordata; Mammalia; Rodentia; Muridae
Source: the annotation of a RefSeq genome assembly